UGCCUGCCCAGUGAAAACGUUAAACGGCCGCGGUAUCCUGACCGUGCAAAGGUAGCAUAAUCAUUUGUUCUUUAAAUAAGGACUUGUAUGAAUGGCCACACGAGGGUUUUACUGUCUCUUACUUCCAAUCAGUGAAAUUGACCUUCCCGUGAAGAGGCGGGAAUAAACAAAUAAGACGAGAAGACCCUAUGGAGCUUCAACUAACUAGUCCAAAGAACAUAAACUUAACCAUUAAGGGAUAAUAACAUUCUCCAUGAACUAGCAGUUUCGGUUGGGGUGACCUCGGAGAACAAACAAUCCUCCGAGCGAUUUUAAAGACAAGACACACAAGUCAAAUCAUUCUAUCGCUUAUUGAUCCAAAAACUUGAUCAACGGAACAAGUUACCCUAGGGAUAACAGCGCAAUCCUAUUCAAGAGUCCAUAUCGACAAUAGG
This 434-nucleotide ribosomal RNA is filed under the name Procapra picticaudata (Tibetan gazelle). RNAcentral's name for it is "partial 16S ribosomal RNA". It matches the Rfam family "Bacterial large subunit ribosomal RNA", at positions 1856 to 2515 of the family's 2925-position model. Lineage: Eukaryota; Metazoa; Chordata; Mammalia; Artiodactyla; Bovidae. The record is from RNAcentral.